Molecule: ribosomal RNA, 446 nt
Filed under: uncultured bacterium
Lineage: Bacteria
Description: partial 16S ribosomal RNA
Rfam family: Bacterial small subunit ribosomal RNA
Source: RNAcentral
CCUACGGGAGGCUGCAGUCGAGAAUCUUUCACAAUGGGGGAAACUCUGAUGGUGCGACGCCGCGUGGGGGAAUGAAGGUCUUCGGAUUGUAAACUCCUGUCAUGUGGGAGCAAACUAAAACGAUCGUAUCACAAUAGGCAGAGCCUGCUAACUCUGUGCCAGCAGCCGCGGUAAGACAGAGGAGGCAAGCGUUGUUCGUAACCACUGGGCGUAAAGGGUGCGUAGGCUGUUUCGUAAGUUAGGUGUGAAAGGCGGAGGUGCAACCCUGGGACUGCACAUGAUACUGCGGGACUAGAGUGGAGGAGGGGGAACCGGAAUGCUCGGUGUAGCAGUGAAAUGCGUAGAUAUCGGGAGGAACACUCGUGGCGAAGGCGGGUUGCUAGACAUUAACUGACGCUGAGGCACGAAGGCGAGGGGAGCGAAAGGGAUUAGAUACCCUUGUAGUC